GCAGGUGAGCGGGGCGGGGCCGGCGCGCACCUGUUUCCGCUGGACGUGUGCCGGAAAGGCAGUCGGCCGCUUCUCCGGAGGUCGCGGAACCUGCGGUCUGUGUAACCCCGACUCUGGGCUCUCGUUCAAUACAAGUCGUGGCUGCUCUCCUGACUGGUUUCCAAGUCGGAAAGAAGCGCCGACCGCAACUUGCGGCUUGCGUAAUCAAAGGGCAUGUUUAAAGAGCAGACGCAACCGAGUUUCCAGGGGCGACUCCUGGGCCCACCCGAGAACACGUUAAUUUAGCCGGCGCUGAGCCCUGCAAGAAGUCUUAGAUGAAGGGGCGCGGCUCUACCCUCUGGGAGCAGGCUCACAAUUGUGGGUGGGAGAUAGAGGGUCCACGCCCAGCCGAGGCCUAUGGUAGUAAGAUAGACGUCCUUCCCUGGAGGAAGAGGUCAGUGCAGGGUGGAAGGCAUUUCUCCAGGUCACCUUUCUAGGAGGAGGUGACUUUUGAGCUAUUAGGUGGAAACAAAAAGGCUUUGACGUCGUACACAUCAGGGUUCCAGCCUCUGCACGGGUCACACCCCCGCUCUGUGAACCCUGAACACAUCAGCAAAGCUCAGAGCGUUUCCAUCUUUAAGAUGCAGAUAGCAGUAGAUGCCCAGUAACAUUUUUGAGGAGCCCCUCCCUCCCCUGCCCGCCCCUGGUGAUCAUGUUAAUUUCUCCCUCAAUUUUACUCCCUCUCUUCUUUCCUCAGUCUCUUCCUUUCAUUCUUUCCAUUUUCUUUCUUUUCUCCUUCAUUCCUUCAUUUUUCUUUUUUCUAAUUGAGGUAUAACCUACACAUAAUAACCUGCACAGAACUUAAGAGGACACGUAGGUGAACUUUUAUGUAUGUAUACACAAGAAAUCAGCUCCCAGAUCAAGACGUAGGACGUUUCAGUCACCCCAGGUUUCCACCUGCUCCUUCCCCAGCCAAUGCUUAUCACCCCAGAGUUUUGGGCUAUUAUGAAGAAGCUGCUGUGAACAUUCUUACAGUCUUUUGGUGAAUAAAUGCACUCGAUUUUAUUGGGUAUGUAGCAGCAGGAACUGAAUAUGCCGGGGAUGGAAUAGCGUGUUGACCUGUGCCUUGGCACUUGCUUGUGGCCUUUCUUACUGGAUCGCGCCAUCGCAGCCUUGACUGUUCAGCUCAAUUCAUUACUUAUUUGACAUGAAACAUUGUCAGUGAGUCUAAUGGAAAAUUCCACUAAAGAAGGAAAAAACAUCUCUCAUAUGGAACAGCGAGCUAUUGAUUAAAGCUGCCACGUGCCCUCAGAGCUCCUUUCUUCGAUAAUGCCUAAAACAGAUCAAGGUUAACAUGGGUGUUACCUCUUAACAGUCCAAAUGUCGGGCUGGCUUUGAGUCCAGAGGUGAUGGACUAAUGUCCCAACUGCCUCACGUGGACCACACAGGUGACCCCGAGGACUGCGGGCUGGGACAAGGCAGUCACUCUCACCAAGAUGCCACCUGGGACUCUGACCUUGUGCCUUGUGAUUGCAUCGGGCCCAGCUGCAUCAUCCGGGAUCCUCUCCUCAUCUCAAGAGCCUUACUUCAAUCACAUCUUUUUUCUGCGGAAGCUGACAUCUUUACAGAUUUCAUCCUUGCCCAGACAUUAAUACAGAAGCUGGAACGAAACAAUUUCUACAGUCCAGACGCAAGAGCAAAGAAAAAAGAAUUUGGUACACACGAUUUCCUACGUGGAACACAUAGUAUGUUUUCAACAUCUUUUGGAAGUACUAUGUUAUUUCUCUGCAUAGUUAUUUAAGAGAGGCAAACCGCAAAUGGCAUUCCUUGUAUGUGUAUACAACAGCGAAUACAUCUAUCCAUAAGAUACAGUGAACUCACUUCUGUGUGUCUGAUCAAAGGCAAUAGUUCUCAUUCAGUAUUGUUCUCAUGUUAAAAAUUAACAUUCAUCAGACACACAUUAUGUGCUGGGAUGGUCUUGGAUGACCCAUCAGGCUGAGCUAAUCUACUGAAUAAUAUUGCCUAAUUUGUAGACCUUGGGGAAAUAAACCCCUGAUUUUUAUUGCUUCAGUGUCUGAUGUUAAACAAGUUCUAGAACAGCAGGCUAACCACAGGCUGGAGCCAUAACAUUGCUUGAUGAGCUGUCAGCGCACUGAUGCUGAGUUCUCGAGGUGCCACCGCCACAGCCCACAUGUCGGGGGCCCGCCCUGAAUCUCCUCCAAACGCAAGAAUGCCUGUAAUGUGGUUCUUUUAGGUUCAGCUGUCAAGGAGCUUUUUCAGUCUACUAGUUGAUGUUUAAAAACUCCGUUCUCAUUUUCUGAUAGAUUUUUAAAAACAAGAUAACUAGAUAUAGCUCUUUGAAGAUAAAUAUUGAGAACUCUGUCGACUAAAUUGAUUCAGUUCAGCAUUGUGCAAAAUGGUAUGGAUUCCUGUCAUUUGGGGAAGCUUUUAAAUUUCUAAGGACUUUUCCUAAAAGGAAUCAGAAUAAAAGACGUGAAGUAGAUACCUUAUA
Molecule: long non-coding RNA, 2491 nt
Organism: Leopardus geoffroyi (Geoffroy's cat)
Lineage: Eukaryota; Metazoa; Chordata; Mammalia; Carnivora; Felidae
Exons: 6
Source: RefSeq, a predicted model, not a curated record